GAUGAACGCUGGCGGCGUGCCUAAUACAUGCAAGUCGAGCGAACGGACGAGAAGCUUGCUUCUCUGAUGUUAGCGGCGGACGGGUGAGUAACACGUGGAUAACCUACCUAUAAGACUGGGAUAACUUCGGGAAACCGGAGCUAAUACCGGAUAAUAUUUUGAACCGCAUGGUUCAAAAGUGAAAGACGGUCUUGCUGUCACUUAUAGAUGGAUCCGCGCUGCAUUAGCUAGUUGGUAAGGUAACGGCUUACCAAGGCAACGAUGCAUAGCCGACCUGAGAGGGGGAUCGGCCACACUGGAACUGAGACACGGUCCAGGCUCCUAAGGGAGGCAGCAGUAGGGAAACUUCCGCAAUGGGCGAAAGCCUGACGGAGCAACGCCGCGUGAGUGGUGAAGGUCUUCGGAUCGUAAAACUCUGUUAUUAGGGAAGAACAUAUGUGUAAGUAACUGUGCACAUCUUGACGGUACCUAAUCAGAAAGCCACGGCUAACUACGUG
This 497-nucleotide ribosomal RNA is filed under the name uncultured bacterium. Its description in RNAcentral is "partial 16S ribosomal RNA". It matches the Rfam family "Bacterial small subunit ribosomal RNA", at positions 28 to 507 of the family's 1533-position model. The record is from RNAcentral.